Vidua chalybeata is the source of this 950-nucleotide long non-coding RNA. RefSeq lists it as uncharacterized. The transcript has 2 exons. Lineage: Eukaryota; Metazoa; Chordata; Aves; Passeriformes; Viduidae. The record is from RefSeq and is a predicted model, not a curated record.
GCUUCCACCCAGGCAAGGCUGACUGUCCCACAGGCUCAGGAGGUUUUGGCUGAGAUGAGCCAGCUCAGCAGGACAUGCUUGAAGCUGAGAGCAGAGCAAUGCUGUAAAAGCCAGCUACAGUAUGGCAGCAAAGGUGUUCUUCUCUGUCCUGGCAGGAGGAAACAGCCAGCUGUGACUCAUGCUCCCUGCUCCCAUUGCCUGGGUUCAUUUUCCACACAGCAGCUAUUGAUAAGACCUGGAAAGAGCAGGAAGUUUCCCUGGCAGGGGCAGCUGGGCAGGCAACAUGUGGUUGGACUGCUAAUGAGCCUGAGUGGAGCACUUUGCCCAAAGCCAUGACCAGGUUUCCGAGUUUUGACUGUUUCAUCAACAGCUCAUGGUGCUCAGCUCAGCCCCACCACACUUCAUGGUCAUGUCACAGAAGCACAGAAUGGUUUGGGUUGGAAGGGACCUUAAAGAUCCUCCCAUUCCACCCUCCUGCCGUGGGCAGGACACCUUCCACUAGAUCAGGUUGCCCAGGGUUCCAUCCAAACUGGCCUUGAACACUCCCACGGAUGGGGCAUCCACACCUUCUCUGGGCAGCCUGUUGCAACCUCACAGUAAAUGAGAAUGAGAAGGUCUUGGGAAAAGGGCUGGUGGCCAGGAGGAAUCUUCUCAACACUUGGGACAGGAUUUAUUCCUUUGAGCUUCACGUUUUCCUUCUCAGUUCUCUGCCUGGGCUGGUCAUGGCAGCCCCCUUGGGCAUCUGAGCUCUUGUGUAAAGUCAGACACCAGGCAGAACCUCUUCAGGUGAGAUGUGUUUGGUUUGAGCUCCAGCUUCGUGUGACCAAACCCCUUCUGCUGACAUGCAUUUGCUAAAUACCACAUCUGGAAAACCAGCAGGUGAAUGCACAGUAUCUCACACAAAACCCCACUGGCAAUUGUAAAUUAGAAUAAACCCUUUUUGGCUUGUG